RNAcentral lists this transfer RNA (82 nucleotides) under Dreissena polymorpha. RNAcentral describes it as "transfer RNA serine (anticodon UGA)". It matches the Rfam family "tRNA". Rfam says of the family: Transfer RNA (tRNA) molecules are approximately 80 nucleotides in length. Their secondary structure includes four short double-helical elements and three loops (D, anti-codon, and T loops). The record is from Rfam by way of RNAcentral. Lineage: Eukaryota; Metazoa; Mollusca; Bivalvia; Myida; Dreissenidae.
GUCGCGGUGGCCGAGUGGUUAAGGCGUUUGACUUGAAAUCAAAUGGGCUCUGCCCGCACAGGUUCGAAUCCUGUCCACGACG